Molecule: ribosomal RNA, 450 nt
Filed under: uncultured bacterium
Lineage: Bacteria
Description: partial 16S ribosomal RNA
Rfam family: Bacterial small subunit ribosomal RNA
Source: RNAcentral
GUGGGGAAUCUUCCACAAUGGACGAAAGUCUGAUGGAGCAACGCCGCGUGAGUGAAGAAGGUUUUCGAAUCGUAAAGCUCUGUUGUCGGGGACGAAUGUUGAGACCGAGAAUAUUGGUUUCAAAUGACGGUACCUGACGAGGAAGCCACGGCUAACUACGUGCCAGCAGCCGCGGUAAUACGUAGGUGGCGAGCGUUGUCCGGAAUUAUUGGGCGUAAAGGGAGCGCAGGUGGGAAAGUAAGUCUGUCUUAAAAGUGCGGGGCUCAACCCCGUGAUGGGAUAGAAACUAUUUUUCUUGAGUGCAGGAGAGGAAAGCGGAAUUCCUAGUGUAGCGGUGAAAUGCGUAGAUAUUAGGAGGAACACCAGUGGCGAAGGCGGCUUUCUGGACUGUAACUGACACUGAGGCUCGAAAGCCAGGGGAGCGAACGGGAUUAGAUACCCCAGUAGUCC